GGGAUUUGAUGCAGAUGAUCAUCAUGGCUUGGAGAAACAAUGAAGGAAGCAAAGUAUGCCAUCUAUGCUGCAGGAGGUGAAUAGGGAGGGAAGGUUUGAAAGAAUCUACUCAGAACUGAAGGAGCCAAGACUCUGUGGGUGCAUUUGAAACAACCUGGCAUUUUUGGGAAACUGCCAGGAGUUCCACAAGGCUGAAGAGCAGCCUGAGAAGGGAGAAGGAACGAGUUUGGGCUUUUAACUGAGGGCCAUGGGAAACUACUGAAGAGUUUUAGGCAGCAUAAGAACUACUAGAUUUUCAUUGUGGGAGGAUCCUCAGCAGCAGCCUCAGAAAGGAGAUUGGGGAAGGAGAUCCCUAGUCAAGGAGACCAAGAAGACUACUGGAAAAAAACAGGGGGAUCCUCAAGGACCUGCAAACAAGAAACCAAAUCCCCCCACUCCCCCCAGCCAAAAUGUGUUCAUUUUGACCAGCUGUGUGUGUGUUUUAAAUUAAAAGUUUGAAUUAGAAAGCAAGUAGGAUAAAUUUAUACACUUAGAUGUAUAAAUUUAAAUACCUGGCCCCUGAAGCACUUCUGAUAGGUCUCAGCUACCCAAACAAGAAGAAGGGAAUCUUUGAAUCCCCAGGACUCAACGCAGUACUGGACACAAAAUGGGAGCUGAAAAAGUGUGUGUGGAGUCAAUGAAGGAUGCAAUUUCCCCCCAUUGUAGAGAUGAAGAAGCUGAGGCUGCAGAGUAGCACAGGAGCAGACAGUGGGGACUGUCUUCAAAGUAGGUUCCUAGUUCCUGGCUCAGAGGUCCCAGUUUUUGUUGACCAUGGACAGUAAAACUCCCUGCGGAAGUGGGUCCAGUCUCAGGAGAGCAGUUUUGAUUGGUCUAAGUUUGUGAUUGACUUAGGAACUGUCUGGUCAAUGAAAUAUGAGGGAAAGCCUGGGGGAUUCUGGGAAAGGUUUUGUAAACCAAAAGUAUUUGAGACAUGUCUCAAUUUUAGAGGAUUAUUUUGCCAAGGUUAAGGACCAUUGCCCAUGGUACAGCCUCAGGAGGCCCUGAGAACAUAUACCCAAGGUGGUUGGGGUUCAGCUUCAUUUUAUACAUUUUAGGGAGUCAGAAGUUACAGGCAAAGACAUAAAUCAAUACAUGCAAGGUAUACAUUGGUUUGGCCCAGAGAAGUGGAACAUCUAGAAGCAGGAGCUUCCAGGUCAUAAGUGGAUUCAAAUAUUUCCUGAUUGGCAGUUUGUUGACAGAGUUAAGCUCUGCCCCAAGAGUUGAUGUCAGCUUAAAUUAAGGUAAGGGGGUGCUUUGUGGAAACCAACGUUCUUAUCAUGUAUAUGAAGCCUCCAGGCUUCAGCGAGAAUAGGUGUGAAUGUCUUUUAUUGGACCUUAAAAAUUGUCAGACUUUCUGGAAAAGACCUAAUAAGGGAAUCUUUACAGAACAUAAUUUUUUCACCCACAAGUGACAGCUUGGCAGGGCCAUUUCAAAAUAUGUAAAGAAAUAUAAUUUGAGGUAAAAUAAUUUGAUUUCCUUCAGGGCCCACUGGCUGUCACGUGAUGUUAUACCAGAGUCAGAUUGGAAUCUGUUGUCUUACUGCUACAAAGAUUUUGUCUUGACAGUCUUAAGAUUCCUGUUUUAAUGUCAGUGCUGGUCAGUUGUGUCUAAACUCAAAAGGAAGGAGGGUAUAAUGAGGCAUGUUUCACCCCCUCUUUCCCAUCAUGGCCUGAACUAGUUUUUCAGGUGUUUUUUUGAAUCCCUUUGGCCAAGGGGGAUCCAUUCAGUCAGCUGAGGGGCUUAGAAUUUUAUUUUUGGUUUAUAGUUUCCUCUUGAUUAAAGAAGGAAGUCUGCAAUGUGGGUUUGUAACCUAGUUUUUAAUAACUUUACAUCAGACUUGUAAUUUAUUGUUACUUUCUGAAGACACACUGAUAAAACCUCUCUACCAUGACAUCAUUGCAUGUUUUCACGGUAGAAAUUCUAAUUAUUUGCUAAAGUGAAAAUAAAGUCAAACAUGCCUAA
Long non-coding RNA from Pan troglodytes (chimpanzee), 2002 nucleotides. RefSeq lists it as uncharacterized. Lineage: Eukaryota; Metazoa; Chordata; Mammalia; Primates; Hominidae. The record is from RefSeq and is a predicted model, not a curated record. The transcript is spliced from 4 exons.